AAUGCAAUGGCGCGAUCUUGGCUCACCGCAACCUCCGCCUGCCGGGUUCUCCUGCCUCAGCCUCCUAAGUAGCUGGAACUACAGGUCCUCUCAGGGUGCGCCAUCAUUGUCCGAGGUCAGCCUCGUGGUGGGCCUCCUCCUGAGCGGCAGAUCAACCUCAGCAACAUCCGUGCUGGAAAUCUUGCUCGCCGGGCAGCUGCCACACAACCUGAUGCAAAGGAUACCCCUGAUGAGCCCUGGGCAUUUCCAGCUCGAGAGUUCCUUCGAAAGAAGCUGAUUGGGAAGGAAGUCUGUUUCACGAUAGAAAACAAGACUCCCCAGGGGCGAGAGUAUGGCAUGAUCUACCUUGGAAAAGAUACCAAUGGGGAAAACAUUGCAGAAUCACUGGUUGCGGAGGGCUUAGCCACCCGGAGAGAAGGCAUGAGAGCUAAUAAUCCUGAGCAGAACCGGCUUUCAGAAUGUGAAGAACAAGCAAAGGCAGCCAA
This 485-nucleotide small RNA is filed under the name Pongo abelii (Sumatran orangutan). RNAcentral's name for it is "processed transcript". Lineage: Eukaryota; Metazoa; Chordata; Mammalia; Primates; Hominidae. The record is from RNAcentral.